UUUCCGGUUGAUCCUGCCGGAGGUUACUGCUAUCGGUGUUCGCCUAAGCCAUGCGAGUCAUAUGUAGCAAUACAUGGCGUACUGCUCAGUAACACGUGGAUAACCUACCCUCAGGACGGGGACAACCCCGGGAAACUGGGGCUAAUACCAGAUAGGUGAGGAUGCCUGGAAUGGUUUCUCACUCAAAGGGCUUUGGAAACAUGCUUCCACUGUCGCCUGAGGAUGGGGCCGCGACCGAUCAGGUUGUUGGUGAGGUAAUGGCUCACCAAGCCUUUAACCGGUACGGGCCGUGAGAGCGGUAGCCCGGAGAUGGGUACUGAGACAAGGACCCAGGCCCUACGGGGCGCAGCAGUCGCGAAAACUCCGCAAUGCACGCAAGUGUGACGGGGCUACCCCGAGUGCCGUCCGCUGAGGAUGGCUUUUCCUUGGUUUAACUAGCCAGGGGAAUAAGGAGAGGGCAAGACUGGUGUCAGCCGCCGCGGUAAUACCAGCUCUCCGAGUGGUAGGGAUGAUUAUUUGGCUUAAAGCGUCCGUAGCCGGCUUAGCAAGUCUCCUGUUAAAUUCAGCGACCUAAUCGUUGAGCCGCGGGAGAUACUACUAGGCUAGGAGGCGGGAGAGGUCGACGGUACUUCUGGGGUAGGGGUGAAAUCCUAUAAUCCCGGGAGGACCACCAGUGGCGAAGGCUGUUGACUAGAACGCGCUCGACGGUGAGGGACGAAAGCUGGGGGAGCAAACCGGAUUAGAUACCCGGGUAGUCCCAGCUGUAAACGAUGCGGGCUAGGUGUUGGGGUGGCUACGUGCCACUUCAGUGCCGCAGGGAAGCCAUUAAGCCCGCCGCCUGGGGAGUACGGCCGCAAGGCUGAAACUUAAAGGAAUUGGCGGGGGAGCACCACAAGGCGUGAAGCUUGCGGUUCAAUUGGAGUCAACGCCGG
Molecule: ribosomal RNA, 932 nt
Filed under: uncultured crenarchaeote
Lineage: Archaea; Thermoproteati; Thermoproteota
Description: bacterial SSU rRNA
Rfam family: Archaeal small subunit ribosomal RNA
Source: RNAcentral